AACGAACGUUAGCGGCGCGCUUAACACAUGCAAGUCGCACGAGAAAGGGCUUCGGCCCCGGUAAAGUAGGCGCACGGGUGGAGUAACACGUGGAUAACCUACCCUCGAGCAGGGGAGUAACAUCCCGAAACGGGGUGGCUAAUACCGCAUAAGACCACGGCUUCGAAAGGAGCUGAGGUAAAAGACUGGCCUCUAUAUAUAAGCUAGCGCUUGAGGACGGGUCCGCGGCGCAUCAGGUAGUUGGCGGGGUAAGUGGCCCGACCAAGCCUAAGACGCGUAGCUGGUCUGAGAGGAUGAUCAGCCACACUGGAACUGAGACACGGUCCAGACUCCUACGGGAGGCAGCAGUGGGGGAAUCUUGCGCAAUGGACGAAAGUCUGACGCAGCGACGCCGCGUGUGUGAUGAAGGCCUUC
This 414-nucleotide ribosomal RNA is filed under the name uncultured bacterium. Its description in RNAcentral is "bacterial SSU rRNA". It matches the Rfam family "Bacterial small subunit ribosomal RNA", at positions 29 to 419 of the family's 1533-position model. The record is from RNAcentral.